AACGCACAUUGCGCCUCUCGGCAUUCCGAGGGGCACGCCUGUUCGAGCGCCAUUACACACCCCAAGCUCUGCUUGAUGUUGGACCAGGCAGAAGUGCCGGUCCGAAACACGUGGGCGCCCUCCGCCGACCUCGAGCGUAGCAAGAUAGCCUUUGGGCAUGUCAUUCGCAUCGUGGGUUCGGUUGAGGCGCAGCCUUGCACCUAUCGUUCUUGCAACGACAAAGUUUGGCCUCGGAUCAGGCGGGGAUACCCGCUGAACUUAA
Molecule: unclassified non-coding RNA, 262 nt
Filed under: Calycellina sp.
Lineage: Eukaryota; Fungi; Ascomycota; Leotiomycetes; Helotiales; Pezizellaceae
Also listed under: 1 other name
Description: partial contains 5.8S ribosomal RNA, internal transcribed spacer 2, and large subunit ribosomal RNA
Source: RNAcentral